RNAcentral lists this ribosomal RNA (1979 nucleotides) under Triticum aestivum (bread wheat). RNAcentral describes it as "partial small subunit ribosomal RNA". Lineage: Eukaryota; Viridiplantae; Streptophyta; Magnoliopsida; Poales; Poaceae. The record is from RNAcentral.
AUGAUGAUGAAAAACAAGCGCAGGAUGGGAGUCCAUGAGAAACAACGUCCUUGCAAGAAAGUAAUUAGGCCAACUUUAGAUGGUACCUCCUCAGCGAGAUCGGACAGCUCGAGGGAACCCAGUCCAGGCGCGUUGAGUCAACUCAGUGAGCAAGUAGUUUCAAGAUUGUGUAGGAGUGUUGUGUCGCUCGCCUCAUUCCAUGGUGAUACCAAGUUAGGGGAAUGCACAGGCAUAUGCAUCGAAACCUCAUGCCCUGAUGCUACAAGUUUCCUGACAUCGAGACUUUUGAUUCCACUUACUUGGCCUACAAGGGAGAUCACUGAAAAUUUGACGAUUGAAGUGCACCUUCCAAAUGGUCGGACUGUCACUGGCUGGAUAGAGCAUCCUGGGAGAUAUGUUGAUUUUUUAAUCGUCAAUGUCAAGGACUUGUCUGUAUUUGAUGUCGCGCGUGUAAGUCUUGAUUGUGACAUGCAGUUUGAACCUUAUAGGAAGGUAGCAGCUGUAUGGCGCAAUUUCAGUUCAGGACUUUUAGGGGCCACAAGCGGAGUAGAUCUUGCCUCUCUAAGCGCUCUAACCAGUGAGACAAUGUUCAGCACAUGCCAGAUCAACAAGGCUGGGAUUGGAGGCCCCCUUGUUGAUUUUGAUGGUAACUUUGUUGGGAUGAACUGCUCUCGUACCAGAAGGAAAAAGACCCCCUACGUGCGAAGGGAGCAAAUCCUUCAAUUCUUGGAGUAUUACAGGAUGGUCAGUGUUAGAGCUAAGGAAGAGAUUGAUGAUGCUGAAGAACCCGGAAUCGAAAGUGAGAUGAAACAACUACUUUGCAGCAUUCCAGGAGGCAAGCGUAAGAUUCAUUUUCUUGAAGCAAAUUUCGUCGACGAUAUCUGGAGUAAACUACCCAAAGGCGUUGCUUCAAAAAUGUCUCGAAGUGUUGUCUCACUUGCUUCAUUCAAUGGAGUUGCAAAAUUCUUUGCUUGCACUGGUGUAUUUAUAAAGUGCAAUGCAUGCUCUGCAACAAUUCUGACUUCAGCAAGUUUGGUUAGAGUUUCUGGUGAUGCAAACAGGAUUGAUGAUAACCUGAGGAUUGAAGUUUGCCUUCCAAACCAAUUUCGAGUCGUAGGGAUACUGAAACGUUAUAAUUUACAUUACAACGUUGCUCUUGUUGACAUCAUGGGGUACUGGGGUCCUCGUGAAAUAAAAAUUGGCAGGCAUCUAGUUACCUCAUGUAAAAGUGUAAUAGCUGUGGGGCGUCUUUUUACUUAUCACAGUAUAAUGGCUGCAAAGGGCAAGUUGUUGAUUGGCAAACGAAGCAAGCUCGAUUGCAAAGAACUAUGCGUCUCCACGUGUAAAAUCACCAAGGCUGGGAUUGGAGGCCCACUUAUUGACACUGGUGGGAAUUUUCUUGGUAUGAACUUUUACCAUGAGGAAGAAACUCCGUUCCUGCCGAGGGAUGUUAUUCACCGCCUCUUGUUGAACUUAAAUAAAGGAUGGACUAGGGCAGAUGAGACUAUUGUUGAGGGUGACGAAAAGAGAUGGCUGUUGGCUGGUACAUGUUGGUCCCAUGGAAAUGCCGAGGGUGGUGUCAACAAGUGGCCGUUGCCCGAGCCAUGUGUGCUCCCUGCUGAUAUACCUGACCCUAGUACACUGGAUUUCUACAAGCUGGAUAGGAUGCAGUGUGCUUUUUAGUCCUGCUACUGCUCGUGGUAUGGAUUUCUACAAGCUGGAUAGGAGGCAGUGUGCUUUUUAGUCCUGCUACUGCUCGUGGUAAUCGAUAAUGUGUUCAUGUUGGUUGGCUGUCUGACGUCCACUCCAGUCUUUGUGUUGCACGAUGAAUGUAAAUGAGUCAUGUCUAAACAGUGAAGUACUACCUCCGUCCCAUAAUGUGAGACACUUUUGUAAGCUAUGUUCUUGUGACAUGGAAGAAAGUUGACACUAUCUACAAACCAUAUCGAUGAAUGAUAGCAGAGACCUGAAUAAUUUGC